Long non-coding RNA from Esox lucius (northern pike), 1287 nucleotides. The record is from Ensembl. NCBI's taxonomy places the organism in Eukaryota, Metazoa, Chordata, Actinopteri, Esociformes, Esocidae.
CUUGGUUUUGGUCCUGUAUAGGAUAGUGCAUGUCACUGGUUGCUGCGGGUUUUGUUUUGAACAUUGAUUAUUCUCUCGUCAUGGACUCUGUGCCUGAGUCAACACAAUUUAGACACUAACUUGUCUAAAUUGUGUUUCUUAGGGUAUCAACAAUUUAGAAUUUUAUAAUAUGUGCUUACUCCUUGUAACUUUUAUCAACUGAUAUGUAAUGUUGGCUGAAUCGUGUUUCUUUGUGUAACGUUAUCAACAUCAUGUGGAUAAUGUUACUCUUGGCAGUAAAUUUAGACUAGCUCAACCUGGACAUGUUGCAAUUCUGUUACUGAGGUGUCUGUGUAUCCACAUUGUUCUUAGCUAGCCUGUGUGGGUCUUAUGCUGCUGUUUUUUUUUACUUAUUUUCUAAACAUUGCUUUCAGGUGAUAAUGUUUUCUGUAGUUUUGUUCCCGGAGGAGGAAGACUGGCAGCAGUUCCACGCCAGCUAUGUGAAUUACAUGUUGAUCUUGUAAUUGCUGCAAUGUUUCACCAUAUUUACCUGUUCACCAACUUUUUUAAAAAGAUUUUUAGGAUGGAGUAAGCACAGCACUCCAAGGCACCAGAGAGGUACUUCACGCCACCAUGUAGAAGAUGGUUUAAAUAGAACAUUUGGAGAAGAUGAAGUGCUGACUGAAGAGAAGGUUGGGCUGAGGGCACAGCUGGCUCUACAAUCAGCUUCUUAUAAACGUCUGACUGAAAAGAAUGUCAAGCCGAGGGCACAGCUGGCUCUACAAUCAGGAGCCAUAAGGAAGAAUCUUUCCAACUGGGAUGCCACUGAUGAGGCUGUCCAGAACCAGGUCCCCAGGUACCAGAAAGGGGCAGCUGACCGUGCAGGUGGGAGACGUUGUGGCGGUACAAGGGACCUGCCAUGAAUAUGAAUGACAUCUCCAGCACAACCAAUAUUGCUGCUAAGCUGCAGUACUGUUUUUGUUUUUACUGCUGCUAUGUAUAAUGUUAUAUAUGAUUGCAUUAUCCUCUUAAUAUAUUUAUAGCUCUGUGAAUGUUCUUAUUUCUGACUGUAGUUGUAGUGUUAUGCCACCAUUCAUAAGUUUAUUGCACUGAUGUAUCUGAUAUUCAAUAACUAUUGAUUGCUGCUAGUUUGUACUUAUGUAUAUUACUGCCGUUCUAGUCCUUGUUUAUUUGUUAUUUUCAGAUUCUGUCAUUUUACUAUCUGUUACUGGACAUGUUUUCUUGCACUACUUGAUUUUGUAAAAUUUUUAUUUCAAUUCAUUUGCCUGUUUUUUGUAUGCUGGCUAU